This is a long non-coding RNA of Numida meleagris (helmeted guineafowl), 1893 nucleotides long. RefSeq lists it as uncharacterized. The transcript has 4 exons. NCBI's taxonomy places the organism in Eukaryota, Metazoa, Chordata, Aves, Galliformes, Numididae. The record is from RefSeq and is a predicted model, not a curated record.
GAGUUGUGUCAGGGCAGAGGCAGGUGGGGGUUAGGGACAGGUUCUUCACCAGAGGGUGGUGGGGCCCUGGAACAGGCUGCCCAGGGCAGUGGGCAUGGCCCCAAGCUACCAGAGUGCAAGGAGCAUUUUGGCCAAUGCUCUCAGACAUAUGGAUUGAAUUUUGGUUGGCCCUGUGUGGAGCUGGACUUAGUAAUCCUUAUGGGCCCCUUCCAGCUCAGGCUAUUUUAUGAUUCUAAUGGAAAAUUUCUCUUUCAGGAAUGUAAUGAUUACAUGUUCUUCCCUAAAGAGCUCAUUAUCUAGGUGCAGAAACAGAAUACAAUAAAUUCAGUCAGUCUUGCACGUCUGCAUCUACGAGGCUAUUUAAACGGAAGUGGCAGCCACACAUUACCCACUGAUCACUUAGUCAGGUGCUCCUCUGAUGAUAAGAAACCCAUGAGAAGAAGAAAAUGCUUGAAAAGAAAUGGGGGCUGGGGCCUUCUUUAAGCAGCAGUCACUGUCCACAACCUGACCAUCUUAUGCAGCAGCACGUCCAUCCUUGCCCUGCCUUUUUCCGCCAAAGGCAGGUGAAAGGCACUGGUGCUUAAGUUAGAGCUUUUUUUGUUUCACUGAUGCUCCUCAAAAGCCUUAAAAUAGUUCUCAAAAAGAUAUGGUGAAGUUUGAGAUGACUCCAAGACCCAAGCACAGAUGUUGCAAGCUGAAGAGGCUUGUGGAUCAUUAUAGUGAUCCCAGUCCCUUUGAAUUAAGACUUGGAAUGGAGUCAAGAUGUUGAUUGAGAAAGAGUAUGCCGUUAUUAAAAGAUGGGCAAAUGAGAAAGAAAAAAGAGAAGGAAAGGAAAGAGAGAAAAAAGGAAAGAAAAGCAAGCCACCACUGUGGAUUCCAUGAUGUCCUGGGGGUCUGUCCUCCGCUUCUGGGGUGGUCGAGGAUGUGGUGGGGCAUGCACCACCAGUAGUGGGGUUAGCAGUGCCUUUUAUGCCAUAUGAUAGUCCCUUCCAAUUGGACUUAUGUGCUGUGCACAUGCUAUACUGGCUGUGCUUCUCCUUUUGCUUGAUGGUUGUGGUUGCGGUUGGACCAGAGACUGCCUUAAGGAAGACAACUAACUCCUGACCUCCCCAUUGUGCUUGGGCACAACAGGUGUUUGUUCUGCAAUUUUCACAGGAGUAUUGCCAAACAGUUUUUGUUCUGUGGCCUUCACAGGAUUGUUACAGUUUUGUUUCUCAAGUCGCCAGUUAGCUGCAAGUUCAUCUCUUAACCAAUCAGAGAGGGAGAAUUCACAAUGUUACAGUUCCAAGUAAUGAUGUCACAGAGUCCAAGCCGGAAAGAAACACACCAUUGCUUCAUUCUCACCACAGGGCAUCAGAAAAGGAGAAGCAGACAGCAGGGUUUGGAAGGAGAAAACCCACCAGCAGAAGGAAGAAAAGUUCUACCUAUGGAAUGGGAGGCGGCAAUAACAGCUGUGCAGGUAACUUAAGAAUGAAGAAGCAUCAGGCUAAAGAGAAGGAAUUAACAAGCCCAGAAAUUAUUGGAUGGCUAGAACACUCACCAGAAAGAUCUGCCACAAAUGGAGUUCUAAGGAACACAGAGCUGCGUGUCACUGUGGAAGACAACAUGAGAGCGAGAUCUGGAUGAGAGGGGCAGGAGGGAGCAGGACCAGAUUAGCAGUCGCUGUUAGAAUCGAAAGUGUGCAAACAGCCCACUGAAGGACACAAUCAUGUGCUCAGCUGUGCCCCAUUCAAACCACAGAAGUCAAAGGCUACUGGCAUCCUCUCACCAGCUGUCCUGAAGCCUGCUCCCUUCACCACAAGUGAGUUCAGUUCUUCGUCAAGAAGUGUCAUUUAAAAUGACAGUGGCUGCUAUGGAGAGAGUGGGGCUUGCAUGUUUUUCUCACAAUAUCUC